UGGUCGCAACCGUCAUCACCUUCCAUCCCAUGGAUGUUGCUGGGGCAUAACCAUAAUCCACAUCAUGGCCGACACCUUCUAUGCAUGCUGACGGGGCAUAAUCAUCUCCGUCGUCGUCUCUCCGUCUCCGUGCUUCUUGCACCCCGAGGCACUUAUCAUCAAUUUUGAAGGGGUAAACAAAAGUGGUUCUGUAACCCUACCAACAAGUAAGAGGACGGUGGAAAACACGAGCUGCCGUUUGGUAAAAACCAAGUGGAAAAGCAGUAGCUUCUUUUUGAGAAAAACAACCCAACGGAAAGAUGUUUUCCGUGGAAAACCACGAUGUCACUUGUGGUCUCACGAUCUGAUCACUGGACGGUUAAGAUUGAAGUUUUACAAAAGAUUCUUAUUAUCUAGUUGUAUCAUCUCUCUAAUAGAGAAGUGACUUCUAUUCUAAUAAAUAUAGAAAAUCCACAUAAACCUUAUCUUUAUUAGAAAUGGUAUAAAAAAUAAUAUAACUAAUUGGGAAGUGUAGCAUUAUUCUAUAUGAAUACGAUGGACAUCGUCGGCACCUUCUUGUGCAUUCAUGUUAAAAAAAAGGCUCAUGUUUGGUUUUCAAGGAUAUGAGGGUAGAAAUAAUUAAAAUCCACCUCAUUAUAUUUUUUUCUUACAUUAAGUCCCAACGAAUGUCAGGAACAUUCUCUUUUAAAUUUUUUUGCUUUGUGUCUUUAUUUUGUUUUUAUUCAGCAAUGUCGUAAUUUAAUUUUUUUUAUUUUUGAUAUUACUCUUUAAAGAUCAUUAUACUAAAGUAAAACCAAAUUCAUUAUACUAAACACGAACCAAUACCCCGAACGACGCCGUUUGAUGAGCUAAUCGGGACUGUACCGUACAUUUCCCGUUCUCCGUUGUACAAUUCCGAAAAACCCCAAAAUCAAACGUCGCGGCAAACAGGCCCUAAAAAUUGGAGGGGAGUUCCGGCGCCGCUUCCGACGCCGCAAUCGAAACCUUAGAACCAGAGAGUGGUGCUUCGGCGAAAUCGAACAAAUGAAGGGGAUGAUCCUGAUCCAUUCCGCCUUGUCCGACGACAUGCGUACGGUGGUGAUUUCAGUGGAAACCAAGCUCACCAACAUAGACCUCAAAUCCAUCUCCGCCAGUGCCCUGUCACCUCCUCAGCCCCAAAGUCCUCCAGGAGAUAGGUUGGGUAAGAGACGUUACUAAAUUCCGUGUGGUGGGUUUUACGAGGAAUACGAGUAGUCGGCGGCUUUUGAAACUCGGGCUCACGGACGGCCACAGUGAGGUAGCAGCUGUGGAGUACUCUCAUAUCCCGGCAAUCCCUGACGACGUCGUUCCUGGAACUAAAGUAUUUUCCACUACAUUUACAAUGAGUUUGGAAGUUUUAGGUCACAACUUACAGUUUAUGGCUCCAAACUGUUUGCCACGAAAUUGAUUAUUUGAUUGGUAUUAAGAGGACGAACAGAUUCGUGCUCUAGAUCAGGGCAAAAGCUUGCCGUGAGAAAUUGAGGAGGGAGAGAUUUAAUGACAGGUGUUUGAAUUUCUCUUGCUACAAAAACUAAUGAAUUGAGACUGAAAAAUGAGAAGUUGCCAUCAAGUGCUUAUGUUUUAGUAUAAUUUCACAUCUGUGAUUCCAAAGUGUUUCCCCCAAUCCAGUGUUUGAAUUUCUCUUGCUACAAAAACUAAUGAAUUGAGACUGAAAAAUGAGAAGUUGCCAUCAAGUGCUUAUGUUUUAGUAUAAUUUCACAUCUGUGAUUCCAAAGUGUUUCCCCCAAUCCAGUAUGAAUGGUGGUUUUCUGUUGAAUUUUACUGUUUUGCAAUUUGGGAUUUGCGUGGAUUGUAAAUUUUGAAUUUUUUUUUUUUUAUGCAGGUGUUUGAAUUUCUCUUGCUACAAAAACUAAUGAAUUGAGACUGAAAAAUGAGAAGUUGCCAUCAAGUGCUUAUGUUUUAGUAUAAUUUCACAUCUGUGAUUCCAAAGUGUUUCCCCCAAUCCAGUGUUUGAAUUUCUCUUGCUACAAAAACUAAUGAAUUGAGACUGAAAAAUGAGAAGUUGCCAUCAAGUGCUUAUGUUUUGGUAUAAUUUCACAUCUGUGAUUCCAAAGUGUUUCCCCCAAUCCAGUUUUGUCUUUUCAGAUGAAUAUAUGCCACAAGCCAUGCAGAAGAAUAUAGCUGAGUGAGCAACUUUUGUUUUUAAUACUGUGUUUUGAAAAAAAUUUGACAAAACAAAAGAUCGAAGAUACUGAUCAUGGGCUGGGGUUUGCAAUUGGUUUUCAAGUAAGGGAUGUAAUAAGCACUCAUAAAUUAGGAACAGUCAAAGUUAACGCUUUUUAGAAUAAGUGGCACUUGAGUUAUAGAACUGAGGAAUGAAAUUGCAGAGCGCAUGUAUAUUUA
Long non-coding RNA from Pyrus x bretschneideri (Chinese white pear), 2382 nucleotides. RefSeq lists it as uncharacterized. The record is from RefSeq and is a predicted model, not a curated record. The transcript has 5 exons. NCBI's taxonomy places the organism in Eukaryota, Viridiplantae, Streptophyta, Magnoliopsida, Rosales, Rosaceae.